UUUUUCUUUUUCAUUUUCUACUUAUAAUUAGUAUUUUAGCAUAUUUUUUAAUCUAUAUAACUUAUGUUAAUCGUUUAAUUAUCAGAAUAUAGAAGAUGACAUUUUAUGUUCUUUAGGAUAUAAGUAUAUAUUUAAUUAAUUUUGAUGUUCAAUACAUAUCUUUCUAAACUAGUUAAUGUCAAGGUUUGUUACUCAAUAAAUGUUUGAUUGAUUUAUAUAAUUGAGGAUUUACUUAAUAUAAUUAUUUCUCUUACAAUAUUUAAUAGAAAUCUCUGGUUCAUAAUCACUCUAUGAUUGUAUAAACAAAAUACAAAGGGUAAAAAAAUACGUACUGCUGAAAAAUUGUCAUAUUUUCCUUUUUUCCUCUAUCUUUUAUGAGUAAUUUUCUUUCUUAUCUAUCAAAUGUACGGAACAAUUGAGUUCUGAUAUAGGUUAGUCUUUUGAAGGUUACACAUCUCUAACUUGUUUAUUUUGUCACUCUAUUCAUCUCUAUUUCCUCUUAUUUUCAAUUUUAUUCUUCCAUCACCAAUGAUUAUGAUAGGGUUUUUCGUCUUGUUUUGAUUAGAUUGAGAUGUUUGUUAGGAUUAUGAGGAUCUCAUAAUAAUAAAGUUGGUGCUAAUGUAACACUAGAAAAAUGGUUGGGUUGGUUUCCUUUAAUAGAUACGGUCUCAUUCGCAUUGUCUUGUUAUUAUUCUAUUUUCUUUUUUUCUUUUUCAUUUUCUUGUAAUUAUUCUUUUUUCUUCUUUUCUUUUUCAUUUUCUACUUAUAUUUAGUAUUUUAGCAUAUUUUUUAAGCUAUAUAACUUAUGUUAAUCGUUUAAUUAUCAGAAUAUAGAAGAUGACAUUUUAUGUUCUUUAGGAUAUAAGUAUAUAUUUAAUUAAUUUUGAUGUUCAAUACAUAUCUUUCUAAACUAGUUAAUGUCAAGGUUUGUUACUCAAUAAAUGUUUGAUUGAUUUAUAUAAUUGAGGAUUUACUUAAUAUAAUUAUUUCGCUUACAAUAUUUAAUAGAAAUCUCUGGUUCAUAAUCACUUUAUGAUUGUAUAAACAAAAUACAAAGGGUAAAAAAAUACGUACUGCUGAAAAAUUGUCAUAUUUUCCUUUUUUUUCUAUCUUUUAUGAGUAAUUUUCUUUCUUAUCUAUCAAAUGUACGGAACAAUUGAUUUCUGAUAUAGGUUAAUCUUUUGAAGGUUACACAUCUCUAACUUGUUUAUUUUGUCACUCUAUUCAUCUGUGUUUCCUCUUAUUUUCAAUUUUAUUCUUGCAUCACCAAUGAUUAUGAUAGGGUUUUUCGUAUUGUUUUGAUGAGAUUGAGAUGUUUGUUAGGAUUAUGAGGAUCUCACAAUAAUAAAGUUGGUGCUAAUGUAACACUAGAAAAAUGAUUGGGUUGGUUUCCUUUAAUACAUACGGUCUCAUUUUCAUUGUCUUGUAAUUAUUCUAUUUUCUUUUUUUCUUUUUCAUUUUCUUGUAAUUAUUCUUUUUUCUUUUUUUCUUUUUCAUUUUCUACUUAUAAUUAGUAUUUUAGCAUAUUUUUUAAUCUAUAUAACUUAUGUUAAUCGUUUAAUUAUCAGAAUAUAGAAGAUGACAUUUUAUGUUCUUUAGGAUAUAAGUAUAUAUUUAAUUAAUUUUGAUGUUCAAUACAUAUCUUUCUAAACUAGUUAAUGUCAAGGUUUGUUACUCAAUAAAUGUUUGAUUGAUUUAUAUAAUUGAGGAUUUACUUAAUAUAAUUAUUUCGCUUACAAUAUUUAAUAGAAAUCUCUGGUUCAUAAUCACUUUAUGAUUGUAUAAACAAAAUACAAAGGGUAAAAAAAUACGUACUGCUGAAAAAUUGUCAUAUUUUCCUUUUUUUUCUAUCUUUUAUGAGUAAUUUUCUUUCUUAUCUAUCAAAUGUACGGAACAAUUGAUUUCUGAUAUAGGUUAAUCUUUUGAAGGUUACACAUCUCUAACUUGUUUAUUUUGUCACUCUAUUCAUCUGUGUUUCCUCUUAUUUUCAAUUUUAUUCUUGCAUCACCAAUGAUUAUGAUAGGGUUUUUCGUAUUGUUUUGAUGAGAUUGAGAUGUUUGUUAGGAUUAUGAGGAUCUCACAAUAAUAAAGUUGGUGCUAAUGUAACACUAGAAAAAUGAUUGGGUUGGUUUCCUUUAAUACAUACGGUCUCAUUUUCAUUGUCUUGUAAUUAUUCUAUUUUCUUUUUUUCUUUUUCAUUUUCUUGUAAUUAUUCUUUUUUCUUUUUUUCUUUUUCAUUUUCUACUUAUAAUUAGUAUUUUAGCAUAUUUUUUAAGCUAUAUAACUUAUGUUAAUCGUUUAAUUAUCAGAAUAUAGAAGAUGACAUUUUAUGUUCUUUAGGAUAUAAGUAUAUAUUUAAUUAAUUUUGAUGUUCAAUACAUAUCUUUCUAAACUAGUUAAUGUCAAGGUUUGUUACUCAAUAAAUGUUUGAUUGAUUUAUAUAAUUGAGGAUUUACUUAAUAUAAUUAUUUCGCUUACAAUAUUUAAUAGAAAUCUCUGGUUCAUAAUCACUUUAUGAUUGUAUAAACAAAAUACAAAGGGUAAAAAAAUACGUACUGCUGAAAAAUUGUCAUAUUUUCCUUUUUUUUCUAUCUUUUAUGAGUAAUUUUCUUUCUUAUCUAUCAAAUGUACGGAACAAUUGAUUUCUGAUAUAGGUUAAUCUUUUGAAGGUUACACAUCUCUAACUUGUUUAUUUUGUCACUCUAUUCAUCUGUGUUUCCUCUUAUUUUCAAUUUUAUUCUUGCAUCACCAAUGAUUAUGAUAGGGUUUUUCGUAUUGUUUUGAUGAGAUUGAGAUGUUUGUUAGGAUUAUGAGGAUCUCACAAUAAUAAAGUUGGUGCUAAUGUAACACUAGAAAAAUGAUUGGGUUGGUUUCCUUUAAUACAUACGGUCUCAUUUUCAUUGUCUUGUAAUUAUUCUAUUUUCUUUUUUUCUUUUUCAUUUUCUUGUAAUUAUUCUUUUUUCUUUUUUUCUUUUUCAUUUUCUACUUAUAAUUAGUAUUUUAGCAUAUUUUUUAAGCUAUAUAACUUAUGUUAAUCGUUUAAUUAUCAGAAUAUAGAAGAUGACAUUUUAUGUUCUUUAGGAUAUAAGUAUAUAUUUAAUUAAUUUUGAUGUUCAAUACAUAUCUUUCUAAACUAGUUAAUGUCAAGGUUUGUUACUCAAUAAAUGUUUGAUUGAUUUAUAUAAUUGAGGAUUUACUUAAUAUAAUUAUUUCGCUUACAAUAUUUAAUAGAAAUCUCUGGUUCAUAAUCACUUUAUGAUUGUAUAAACAAAAUACAAAGGGUAAAAAAAUACGUACUACUGAAAAAUUGUCAUAUUUUCCUUUUUUCUUCUAUCUUUUAUGAGUAAUUUUCUUUCUUAUCUAUCAAAUGUACGGAACAAUUGAGUUCUGAUAUAGGUGAGUCUUUUGAAGGUUACACAUCUCUAACUUGUUUAUUUUGUCAUUCUAUUCAUCUGUAUUUCCUCUUAUUUUCAAUUUUAUUCUUGCAUCACCAAUGAUUAUGAUAGGGUUUUUCGUCUUGUUUUGAUUAGAUUGAGAAGUUUGUUAGGAUUAUGAGGAUCUCACAAUAAUAAAGUUGGUGCUAAUGUAACACUAGAUAAAUGGUUGGGUUGGUUUCCUUUAAUACAUACGGUCUCAUUCGCAUUGUCUUGUUAUUAUUCUAUUUUCUUUUUUUCUUUUUCAUUUUCUUGUAAUUAUUCUUUUUUCUUCUUUUCUUUUUCGUUUUCUACUUAUAUUUAGUAUUUUAGCAUAUUUUUUAAGCUAUAUAACUUAUGUUAAUCGUUUAAUUAUCAGAAUAUAGAAGAUGACAUUUUAUGUUCUUUAGGAUAUAAGUAUAUAUUUAAUU
This 3844-nucleotide long non-coding RNA is filed under the name Lathyrus oleraceus (garden pea). RNAcentral's name for it is "Pisum sativum (pea) long non-coding RNA (PSAT_LNC041416)". The record is from RNAcentral. Lineage: Eukaryota; Viridiplantae; Streptophyta; Magnoliopsida; Fabales; Fabaceae.